This 362-nucleotide unclassified non-coding RNA is filed under the name uncultured bacterium. RNAcentral's name for it is "contains 16S-23S intergenic spacer region". The record is from RNAcentral.
UCUUCCGUAAGGAAGCAGUCUCGCCUGACAAAUUAAACAGGCAACGGGGGUUGCGUUCGUUUCCCCACUUAAGGGAACAGCUCAAGCCACGAACUGACGACGACCAUGCAUCACCUGCCAUACACCCUCGAAGGCUGACUCGGUUUCCCGAGCCGUGCAGUAUGGUUUCAAACCCUGGUAAGGUUUUUCGGUCGACAUCGAAUUAAGCCACAUAAUCCACCGCUUGUGCGAAUUCCCGUCUAUUCCUUUGAGUUUUAGCCUUGCGGCCGUACUACCCAGGCGGAUCACUUAACGCGUUAGCUUCGCCACAGAGAGGGUCGAUACUCCCUAUAGCCAGUGAUCAUCGUUUAGGGCGUAGACUA